CAGGAACAGAGAAAACCCGAGUGUCCCCUCUGUCCCGGGGAAAGGGUGGUACAAGGUGCUGCCGUCAUGUGGCCUGGAGCGAAGGGGCCGGCCAUUCCACAGACACGUCGGAGAGGCGCUGGCAUCCUAACCUAGAGUAAACGAGAAAAGAGACACCGGCAAAAUGCAUCGUAAAGCCACAGGAAAGGAGGAGCUGGCCAGGAACUGGCGGAAACAGAAGCAACAGGGAGGCUCCGUCGAAACAGGUGCUCUCCCACAGAGGGUGUGGACGCCGCCUCGCUGGACCUUGGAUUUGCCAAGUCCUUCCCGUGUUUCAAGCAAAGCU
Molecule: long non-coding RNA, 325 nt
Filed under: Pan troglodytes (chimpanzee)
Lineage: Eukaryota; Metazoa; Chordata; Mammalia; Primates; Hominidae
Description: long non-coding RNA NONPTRT009037
Source: RNAcentral